AUUACUGGGCGUAAAGGGUUCGUAGGUGGUGCGGCAAGUUGGGAGUGAAAUCUCUGGGCUUAACCCAGAGGCUGCUUUCAAAACUGCCGCGCUCGAGUGCGAGAGAGGUCAGUGGAAUUGCAGGUGUAGCGGUGAAAUGCGUAGAUAUCUGCAGGAACACCCGUGGCGAAGGCGGCUGACUGGAUCGCAACUGACACUGAGGAACGAAAGCUAGGGGAGCAAACAGGAUUAGAUACCCUGGUAGUCCUAGCCCUAAACCCUCGCAACUUGGGGUGGCCCGCGUAGGCGGGUCGUCCCGUAGCUAACGCGUUAAGUUCCGCGCCUGGGGAGUACGGUCGCAAGACUGAAACUCAAAGGAAUUGACGGGGGCCCGCACAAGCGGUGGAACAUGUGGUUCAAUUCGACGCAACGCGAAGAACCUUACCUGGGCUUGAACCGCUACUGACCAACGGUAGAAAUAUCGUCUUCCCGCAAGGGACAGUAGUAGAGGUGCUGCAUGGCUGUCGUCAGCUCGUGCCGUGAGGUGUUGGGUUAAGUCCCGCAACGAGCGCAACCCUUAUUCGUAGUUGCCACCCGCAAGGGGGAACUCUACGAGGACUGCUCCGGAUAACGGAGAGGAAGGUGGGGAUGACGUCAAGUCAGCACGGCCUUUAUGUCCAGGGCUACACACGUGUUACAAUGCACGGUACAGACUGUUGCGAACCCGCGAGGGGGAGCUAAUCGGACAAAACCGUGCUCAGUUCGGAUUGCAGUCUGCAACUCGACUGCAUGAAGCUGGAAUCGCUUAGUAAUGGCGCAUCAGAUCGCGCCGUGAAUACGUUCCCG
RNAcentral lists this ribosomal RNA (825 nucleotides) under uncultured Acidobacteriota bacterium. Its description in RNAcentral is "bacterial SSU rRNA". It matches the Rfam family "Bacterial small subunit ribosomal RNA", at positions 550 to 1376 of the family's 1533-position model. Lineage: Bacteria; Pseudomonadati; Acidobacteriota. The record is from RNAcentral.